This 460-nucleotide ribosomal RNA is filed under the name uncultured bacterium. RNAcentral describes it as "partial 16S ribosomal RNA". It matches the Rfam family "Bacterial small subunit ribosomal RNA", at positions 338 to 795 of the family's 1533-position model. The record is from RNAcentral.
CCUACGGGAGGCAGCAGUGAGGAAUAUUGGUCAAUGGACGAGAGUCUGAACCAGCGAAGUAGCGUGAAGGAUGACUGCCCUAUGGGUUGUAAACUUCUUUUAUAGGGGAAUAAACCGCGGCACGUGUGCCUUUUUGCAUGUACUUUAUGAAUAAGGCUCGGCUAACUCCGUGCCAGCAGCCGCGGUAAUCCGGAGGAUCCGGGCGUUAUCAGGAUUUAUUGGGUUUAAAGGGAGCGUAGAUGGGUUGUUAAGUCAGUAGUGAAAGUUUGCGGCUCAACCGUAAAAUUGCAAUUGAUACUGGCAGUCUGGAGUACAGUUGAGGUAGGCGGAAUUCGUGGUGUAGCGGUGAAAUGCUUAGAUAUCACGAAGAACCCCGAUUGCGAAGGCAGCUUACUAAACUGUGACUGACAUUGAUGCUCGAAAGUGUGGGUAUCAAACAGGAUUAGAUACCCCUGUAGUC